GCGUACAUGAGCCAGCGCACCACCGACGC
RNAcentral lists this small RNA (29 nucleotides) under Bombyx mori (domestic silkworm). RNAcentral's name for it is "ovarian small RNA-16973". The record is from RNAcentral. Lineage: Eukaryota; Metazoa; Arthropoda; Insecta; Lepidoptera; Bombycidae.